UCCCUGAUGGCUCAGAUGGUAAAGAAUCUGCCUGCAAUGCAGCAGAUCUGGGUUCAAUCCCUGGGUUGGGAA
Molecule: transfer RNA, 72 nt
Filed under: Ovis aries (sheep)
Lineage: Eukaryota; Metazoa; Chordata; Mammalia; Artiodactyla; Bovidae
Rfam family: tRNA
About the family: Transfer RNA (tRNA) molecules are approximately 80 nucleotides in length.
Source: Rfam by way of RNAcentral